GUGUCAGCCGCCGCGGUAAUACGUAGGCAGCGAGCGUUGUUCGGAGUUACUGGGCGUAAAGAGUAUGUAGGCGGUUCUGCAAGUUCGGUGUGAAAUCUCCCGGCUCAACUGGGAGGGUGCGCCGAAAACUGCAGGGCUAGAGUGUGGGAGAGGAAAGCGGAAUUCCUGGUGUAGCGGUGAAAUGCGUAGAUAUCAGGAGGAACACCGGCGGUGUAGACGGCUUUCUGGACCAUUACUGACGCUGAGAUACGAAAGCGUGGGGAGCAAACAGGAUUAGAUACCCUGGUAGUCCACGCCCUAAACGAUGCGGACUUGGUGUGGGCAGUUCAUUCUGUCCGUGCCGGAGCUAACGCGUUAAGUCCGCCGCCUGGGGAGUACGGUCGCAAGGGUGAAACUUAAAGAAAUUGGCGG
This 411-nucleotide ribosomal RNA is filed under the name uncultured bacterium. Its description in RNAcentral is "bacterial SSU rRNA". It matches the Rfam family "Bacterial small subunit ribosomal RNA", at positions 505 to 916 of the family's 1533-position model. The record is from RNAcentral.